RNAcentral lists this ribosomal RNA (544 nucleotides) under uncultured fungus. RNAcentral's name for it is "SSU rRNA". It matches the Rfam family "Eukaryotic small subunit ribosomal RNA", at positions 930 to 1497 of the family's 1831-position model. Lineage: Eukaryota; Fungi. The record is from RNAcentral.
UGAAGACUAACUACUGCGAAAGCAUUUGCCAAGGAUGUUUUCAUUAAUCAGGAACGAAAGUUAGGGGAUCGAAGACGAUCAGAUACCGUCGUAGUCUUAACCAUAAACUAUGCCGACUAGGGAUCGGACGAUGUUACUUAUUGACUCGUUCGGCACCUUACGAGAAAUCAAAGUGCUUGGGCUCCAGGGGGAGUAUGGUCGCAAGGCUGAAACUUAAAGAAAUUGACGGAAGGGCACCACCAGGGGUGGAGCCUGCGGCUUAAUUUGACUCAACACGGGGAAACUCACCAGGUCCAGACACAAUGAGGAUUGACAGAUUGAGAGCUCUUUCUUGAUUUUGUGGGUGGUGGUGCAUGGCCGUUCUUAGUUGGUGGAGUGAUUUGUCUGCUUAAUUGCGAUAACGAACGAGACCUUAACCUGCUAAAUAGCCCGUAUUGCUUUGGCAGUACGCUGGCUUCUUAGAGGGACUAUCGGCUCAAGCCGAUGGAAGUUUGAGGCAAUAACAGGUCUGCGAUGCCCUUAGAUGUUCUGGGCCGCACGCGCG